GGAUGGGUGUCCGAGCGGUUGAAGGUGCUUGACUCGAAAUCAAGUGUGCCCAAAAGGUACCGAGGGUUCGAAUCCCUCCCCAUCCGCCA
This 89-nucleotide transfer RNA is filed under the name Acidaminococcus timonensis. RNAcentral describes it as "tRNA-Ser". It matches the Rfam family "tRNA". Rfam says of the family: Transfer RNA (tRNA) molecules are approximately 80 nucleotides in length. Their secondary structure includes four short double-helical elements and three loops (D, anti-codon, and T loops). RNAcentral also lists the same sequence under 1 other name. The record is from RNAcentral. Lineage: Bacteria; Bacillati; Bacillota; Negativicutes; Acidaminococcales; Acidaminococcaceae.